UUCCCCUAAGUGACCUUCGCAAGGAAUUGUGGGUCAUCUUGCAAUCGACCAGAGUCUGUGUUCAUGAAUUUUUGUAAAGUACAACAAACUUCAUAAACUCAACGUCAGCGUAGUUAACAGAAACCAUGACGUUCUGGAGACAAGCUGGCAUCAAUUACAUUCAGUACUCUCAGAUAGCAGCAAGAGUAGUCCGACGAGCACUUAAGCCAGAAUUUAAAGCAGAAGCUUUGAAGAGAGAAGGCUCCGAUGCUAAAGUUGUAAAGUGGGAGAAUGGAAAACCUAUGAAGGGAGCAGCGUAACCAC
Priapulus caudatus is the source of this 303-nucleotide long non-coding RNA. RefSeq lists it as uncharacterized. Lineage: Eukaryota; Metazoa; Priapulida; Priapulimorpha; Priapulimorphida; Priapulidae. The record is from RefSeq and is a predicted model, not a curated record. The transcript is spliced from 3 exons.